UGAGGAAUAUUGGUCAAUGGACGGAAGUCUGAACCAGCCAUGCCGCGUGCAGGAAGACGGCUCUACGAGUUGUAAACUGCUUUUGUACGGGGGUAACCUCAUCUACGUGUAGAUGACUGAAAGUACCGUACGAAUAAGGAUCGGCUAACUCCGUGCCAGCAGCCGCGGUAAUACGGAGGAUCCGAGCGUUAUCCGGAUUUAUUGGGUUUAAAGGGUGCGUAGGCGGCUUUUUAAGUUAGCGGUGAAAUACGGGGGCUUAACCCCCGGGUGUCCGCUGAUACUGGGAGGCUAGAGAGCAGAUGCAGCAGGCGGAAUGUGUGGUGUAGCGGUGAAAUGCAUAGAGAUCACACAGAACACCGAUUGCGAAGGCAGCUUGCUAAUCUGUAUCUGACGCUGAGGCACGAAAGCGUGGGUAGCGAACAGGAUUAGAUACCCCCGUAGUCC
This 444-nucleotide ribosomal RNA is filed under the name uncultured bacterium. RNAcentral's name for it is "bacterial SSU rRNA". It matches the Rfam family "Bacterial small subunit ribosomal RNA", at positions 355 to 796 of the family's 1533-position model. The record is from RNAcentral.